AUUGAACGCUGGCGGCAGGCCUAACACAUGCAAGUCGAGCGGAAAACGAGUUUAUCUGAACCUUCGGGGAACCGAUAACGGCGUCGAGCGGCGGACGGGUGAGUAAUGCCUAGGAAAUUGCCCUGAUGUGGGGGAUAACCAUUGGAAACCGAGUGGCUAAUUACCGCAUAAUUGCCUACGGGCCAAAGAGGGGGACCUUACGGGCCUCUCGCGGUCAGGAUAUGCCUAGGUGGGAUUAGCUAGUUGGUGAGGUAAUGGCUCACCAAGGCGACGAUCCCUAGCUGGUCUGAGAGGAUGAUCAGCCACACUGGAACUGAGACACGGGUCCAGACUCCUACGGGAGGCAGCAGUGGGGAAUA
RNAcentral lists this ribosomal RNA (359 nucleotides) under uncultured bacterium. Its description in RNAcentral is "bacterial SSU rRNA". It matches the Rfam family "Bacterial small subunit ribosomal RNA", at positions 30 to 363 of the family's 1533-position model. The record is from RNAcentral.